RNAcentral lists this ribosomal RNA (899 nucleotides) under Phyllosticta citricarpa. Its description in RNAcentral is "partial large subunit ribosomal RNA". It matches the Rfam family "Eukaryotic large subunit ribosomal RNA", at positions 41 to 958 of the family's 3401-position model. Lineage: Eukaryota; Fungi; Ascomycota; Dothideomycetes; Botryosphaeriales; Phyllostictaceae. The record is from RNAcentral.
UAUCAAUAAGCGGAGGAAAAGAAACCAACAGGGAUUGCCUCAGUAACGGCGAGUGAAGCGGCAAUAGCUCAAAUUUGAAAGCUGGCGUCUUCGACGUCCGCGUUGUAAUUUGUAGAGGAUGUUUCGGCGAGGGCUCCUGCCUAAGUUCCCUGGAAUGGGACGUCACAGAGGGUGAGAAUCCCGUAUGUGGCGGGCGGCCUUAGCCAUGUGAAACUCCUUCGACGAGUCGAGUUGUUUGGGAAUGCAGCUCUAAAUGGGAGGUAAAUUUCUUCUAAAGCUAAAUACCGGCCAGAGACCGAUAGCGCACAAGUAGAGUGAUCGAAAGAUGAAAAGCACUUUGGAAAGAGAGUUAAAAAGUACGUGAAAUUGUUGAAAGGGAAGCGCUUGCAACCAGACUCGUUCGCAGUUGCUCAGCCCGCCUCUUGGUGGGUGUACUCUUCUGCGGUCGGGCCAGCAUCAGUUCGGGCGGUCGGAUAAAGGUGUCGGGAAUGUAGCACCCUUCGGGGUGUGUUAUAGCCCGGCGCGGAAUGCGGCCAGCCUGGACUGAGGAUCUCGCUUCGGCAAGGAUGCUGGCGUAAUGGUUGUAAGCGGCCCGUCUUGAAACACGGACCAAGGAGUCUAACAUCUAUGCGAGUGUUUGGGUGUCAAACCCAUGCGCGUAAUGAAAGUGAACGGAGGUGGGAACCCGCAAGGGUGCACCAUCGACCGAUCCUGAUGUCUUCGGAUGGAUUUGAGUAAGAGCAUAGCUGUUGGGACCCGAAAGAUGGUGAACUAUGCCUGAAUAGGGUGAAGCCAGAGGAAACUCUGGUGGAGGCUCGCAGCGGUUCUGACGUGCAAAUCGAUCGUCAAAUUUGGGUAUAGGGGCGAAAGACUAAUCGAACCAUCUAGUAGCUGGUUCC